UAGGGAAUCUUCGGCAAUGGACGAAAGUCUGACCGAGCAACGCCGCGUGAGUGAAGAAGGUUUUCGGAUCGUAAAACUCUGUUGUUAGAGAAGAACAAGGACGUUAGUAACUGAACGUCCCCUGACGGUAUCUAACCAGAAAGCCACGGCUAACUACGUGCCAGCAGCCGCGGUAAUACGUAGGUGGCAAGCGUUGUCCGGAUUUAUUGGGCGUAAAGCGAGCGCAGGCGGUUUCUUAAGUCUGAUGUGCAAGCCCCCGGCUCAACCGGGGAGGGUCAUUGGAAACUGGGAGGCUUGAGUGCAGAAGAGGGGAGUGGAAUUCCAUGUGUAGCGGUGAAAUGCGUAGAUAUAUGGAGGAACACCAGUGGCGAAGGCGGCUCUCUGGUCUGUAACUGACGCUGAGGCUCGAAAGCGUGGGGAGCAAACAGG
RNAcentral lists this ribosomal RNA (429 nucleotides) under Gemmatimonadota bacterium. RNAcentral describes it as "Gemmatimonadetes bacterium partial 16S ribosomal RNA". It matches the Rfam family "Bacterial small subunit ribosomal RNA", at positions 355 to 776 of the family's 1533-position model. The record is from RNAcentral. Lineage: Bacteria; Pseudomonadati; Gemmatimonadota.